AUGGCCUGGACCCCUCUCCUUUUCCCCCUCCUCACUCUCUGCACAGGCUCCGUGGUCUCCUCUGAGCUGACUCAACCCCCCUCAGUGUCAGUGACCCUGGGACAGACGGCCAGCAUCACCUGUUCUGGGGAUAACAUUGAGGAUGCAUAUGCUCACUGGUACCAACAGAAGCCAGGCCAGGCCCCUGUGCUGCUCAUCUAUGAGAAUACUGACCGGCCCUCAGGGAUCCCUGACUGAUGCUCUGGCUCCCAGUCGGGGAACAUGGCCACCCUGACCAUCAGCAGGGCCCAGGCUGAGGAUGAGGCCGACUAUUACUGUCAAUCAUUGGACAGUAGUUAUGAUCGGUAUGUCUUUGGCAGUGGGACCCAGCUCACCGUCCUAGGUCAGCCCAAGGCCUCGCCCUCAGUCACUCUCUUCCCACCAUCCUCUGAGGAGCUCCAAACCAACAAGGCCACACUGGUUUGUCUCAUGAAUGACUUCUACCCGGGCACCUUGACAGUCACCUGGAAGGCAGAUGGCAAAACCAUCACCCAGGGUGUGGAGACCACCAAGCCCUCCAAACAGAGCAACAACAAGUACGCAGCCAGCAGCUACCUGACCCUGACGCCGGAGACAUGGAAGUCUCACAACAGUUACAGCUGCCAGGUCACGCACGAGGGGAAUACUGUCGAGAAGAAGAUGGCCCCUGCAGAGUGUACAUAG
This is a non-coding RNA of Orycteropus afer afer, 702 nucleotides long. The record is from the annotation of a RefSeq genome assembly. Lineage: Eukaryota; Metazoa; Chordata; Mammalia; Tubulidentata; Orycteropodidae.